This 211-nucleotide ribosomal RNA is filed under the name uncultured Staphylococcus sp. RNAcentral's name for it is "partial 16S ribosomal RNA". It matches the Rfam family "Bacterial small subunit ribosomal RNA", at positions 150 to 355 of the family's 1533-position model. Lineage: Bacteria; Bacillati; Bacillota; Bacilli; Caryophanales; Staphylococcaceae. The record is from RNAcentral.
CGGGAAACCGGAGCUAAUACCGGAUAAUAUAUUGAACCGCAUGGUUCAAUGGUGAAAGACGGUUUUGCUGUCACUUAUAGAUGGAUCCGCGCCGCAUUAGCUAGUUGGUAAGGUAACGGCUUACCAAGGCAACGAUGCGUAGCCGACCUGAGAGGGUGAUCGGCCACACUGGAACUGAGACACGGUCCAGACUCCUACGGGAGGCAGCAGC